RNAcentral lists this long non-coding RNA (244 nucleotides) under Capsicum annuum. RNAcentral's name for it is "long non-coding RNA (CANN_LNC019274)". Lineage: Eukaryota; Viridiplantae; Streptophyta; Magnoliopsida; Solanales; Solanaceae. The record is from RNAcentral.
ACCUUUCUUGCUAAUUGAUCAACACAAGUACAAUCCAUCAAAUGUAUUAAUCCCUAGUUUCAAUGUCUUUUCAAAGACCUACACUAAGAUGGAUUUUCCAAGCCCCAAGCUAAGGAAAGAAAAUACAAUUUGAGUAAUACUCAAUCAAUUCAUCCAAGUCUAAUGAAAAGAAGAGGUCAAAUAUUUAUUUAUACUAUUACAUAGUAAAUAUCUAAAAUACACUUAAUGAAUAAGGUAAAUGGGG